CCCUGCACGUAACCCGUGUCCAGAUGUUGCCACACAUAGCUAUGAAGAUAAAAAGUCAGUAGAUUAAAACAAUUAUAGACUUGAUGUGUUUCCAAUGGUAUCACCUGCACAUGAUGUUCCUCAGCUUGUCCAGGUUUUCGGGAGUGAAGUACCAAUAGGUUCUGUCACACCGUCGGACAUCUUUGUCGAUGCGAUGCAAGUUGAUCAGAUACAUGUCCAGUGUUUCUUGCUGCAGAAGAGCAAGAGAGAGAAAGCAGGUUUAGGUUUAGGAUUAAAGCUUAAAUACAGUGGAACAACUUAGCUUUCUUACAGAGUAGGUUUUGUGCACCAAGGAUUUGUCACAUUUAGACUCUACUGCGGCCUCUACAGGUUCAGGUGCUGUAAACACAUUUUCGGUGUCAGGCUCAUCUUCGGAAAGUCCCAGGUCCGUGCCCUCAGGACUGGUGUUGCAAGCUGUGUCCAGAUGGUGAUCUAAGACGAGGUCCUCAGGUGCUGUCUUCCCUCUCCGAGCCAGCGAAGCCGGAGGGGCGGCAAGGGCAGUCAAAGGCCUAAUGCUAAUUUCCUCCAGGUUCAAACAUGUCACCCCGGCAGGGAUGUCCUCCAUCUCUAAGGCGGAGGGGGAAUCGUCCGAGUCCGGAGACGGCCGGGUGUGGGAGGACAGCGAAAGGCUCCCGCGGGAUGCCAACUGGAGAGCAUUGAGGACUUGCCUUACAGGUGAGUUUGAGCCUUUCUCAAAUGGGAUGUCUGAUACUUUUCUGGCUUCACACACAGAAUCCAUUGCCUCAACUGAAAUUGCUUUUUCUAAACACUCUGGUUCAGCCCCAAUUUGUGGAAUUCCGUCUGGUGUUAGCAGAGAAACUGACUUACUGUCCUGAUCUUUUGUAUUUUGUGCUUGAAAAUUUAAAGCCUGACCCAUCGGAGGGGCUUGGAAAUAUUUGUUCUGAAUCUCAGUUUCCAGCUUGAUAAUAUUGGUGUUCCCUGGGGGAGAUCUUACAUCCUUCUUUGUAAUUAUACUUUUUACCAUACCAGAUUUCUCAUUAGCAUUUUUGGACUUCUCAGCGUCAGAGCACUUUAGUUUCAUUGUGUUUCCAGAAUCCUCACCCCCGUCACUUUCAGUCUCCAUCCUUUCAAUCCCUAAGAAGCCGUCCUUUGCCCUUGAGUCUAGAAUAUUUUCACUGUCUGGCAGUGAUUCAUCCACAGAUUGUACGUUGAAGACGUCUGAUGUGUCCAUUGACUGCUGAGAAGAUCCAAUCACUGGCUCCGUUGAACCUGUAGGGUCGGAUCGGUUGCUGGAGCUAACAGGACCAGCAGGGAUGUCCUUAAUUGGACUGUUGUGCUGCUUUUGACUUUCUUCCGGUCUCGUCUCCAUCGGAUCGCCGGCAUCGACCGAUACGAACACCUAAAGAACAAGAAGGGUCAGUGACCGAAGCCAAAAUUGAUUGAGUUGAUGUAUCAUAUAAUUCAGAGUAGCAUUUCAGCAACAAGGCCCGAUUCUGUCAGUUGAUUCCUACUUUAUGUGAUGCUUAUGAGACUUGAACUAAAGAUGGACCUUACCAGUGCACUACUGCUGGAGUCGCUCUGUGACUGCACAUUUUGUUGAUCUGAGUUACUGCUGAGCGACGACUAAAGUGGAAAGGAGAACUGUUGACUUACAUCUGUGCUGAUGGUGGAGUCCCGCUCGACAGGCCCCCUCUCGACGCUGGCGCCUGACGAACAUCUAGCGAGGGCCUCGACGUGUUUCUCUCGCUCCCUUUGGCGCACGAUGUCCUCACAACCUUGCCACUCCUUCAUGUUCUGCUCGUACAAGGCGCGCAUCUGCUGUGUCCCAACAGGAAGGGCCACACCUCUUUGCGUAGAGAAGGUGCCACACCGCCAAAAUACACAAGCCUGUGUAUCUCAUGUUCCUCAGCUGUCGUGGAGGAACUUGGCCCAGACGUCCACAGAGAGGCCUCCUUGGGCAUCCGAAGGCACAUCGGGGACGACGAUAGUGGUGUUGACCAGAGCCGAGAGUUCCAGGUCCUAAGUGGCGGUCAAAGUGUCCCAUCUUGUCAGACUAUAUGACCAGCCACCUUCUGUCCAGGAAACAGGAUCCGGAACACAUAAUCGGUGGCUUCCUCAUCCUCUUUAUCAGACACCGAGUCACAUGACCCAUGUGGGCUCCUCCUACGCAAUUUGGGGAAAACCUUUCCCUGUGCAUGAAAGACAAAAACACACUCUUGAUACACAAGGUCAAAUAGGAAAUGUCCUGCAUUCAUGCUGACCUUCCCUCUCUGAUUCCAGAGCGGCGGGUCCAACUGGCCGUGAGGUAGCAGGCCAGUCUCCAGGCAGGCGAUGGCUGUUUACGACCCCGUCCCUUUGGAAGCAGCUGUUGCCAUGUGGUCAGGGAAGGUCCAAAUAAAAGAAGGAGGCGUGCAAUCUUUUGGCAGAGCGUAAUGACACUGUGCAAGGAUGUCAUCAGUGUUUGAACCUGACAGGAACCAACUUGAUCUUGGCACAGAUGAGUUCUACUUCUAUUAUUUCAAACAUGGAAGACAAUAUGAACAAAUGGGCUGACCCGGACCCUGCAGUUGAGGGGAAAAAACACCCGGAAUUGCAUCGUCACCUGUUUUCUAUGAGGCGCUCCAGCUCUUGGACCUUGUGACAAAGUUGCUCAGCGGGCGAGCAGCUCUUUGCCACCUUCAUGAAGAGCGCCGCGACCUUGUUACUGCACAGCAGCCCCGCGAUGCGCCGCUUGAGUCCAUGCAGCACACAGGCCUCCACCACGGCUGCACACGUUGAAACACAGACUCGUUAAGGCACAAUAAGGUUGGUUUUUUUUACUCACACUGGGCAGAAUGGUUGACAAUUAAAAAUCAGGUGACAGGAAGGCACAGGUGGCACAAAGAGGGCAAAACACUGUUGCUAGGAUAUGAGGGAUGUGAACACACUCCUGGUUAGUAACACCUCCAGGAGGUGUAAUCCUACUUAUUAUAAUACAUCAGGCCAGCUUUUCCUACACACAAGUGCAAUCUGAGGAGAAUAUGUUCUAAUAACGACUACAGUCUGCCCUCCCAACAUUUCAAUUUGCACAGAAGAUAAUCACACAUUCAGCCUAUAAUUGAAAAGGCCUAUGGGGAUUGUCAGGGGGGCUCGCUGAGCUUGCGCUUUUCUCCGUAAAACAAAAACAGCGCGCCGGUUUUACCACAGAAGGAGAUGAUGUGGCUGCUGUCGGCGUGCACGAACUUCCUGGUCACCGCCUCCUCCAUGAUCUGUUUCACCUGUGGGGAGACAACACGCGUGUCCAGUGACACGCUAAAGUCUUCCAUCAAAAUACAACACAUGCAGAACUUGCAGUUAUAUAUAGUAGAAGAUCUUUGACUGGUUAUGCAGUAGAUCCCGACAACAGCAGAGUAUUCCUGUCUAAUUGAGGAUUUUUGACUAUAAAUAGAUCCCAGGGCACUCCGGUCAAAUCAAGGAUCUUGGACUGGUUAUGCAGUAGAUCCUUCAAAAAGCAGAUUUCCCAGAAUUCUAGGUUUUCCGGGACAUUUUUCAAACUUUCCCCAUUUUCACAUUUUUCAACCAAUUCAAACCAUUCCACCUUCAACACAUUCCACCAUUUUGGAAAUUCCAACUACUCUUUUUCCGAGUUCAAAAAAAUUCCAGGAUUUUUCAGAAUUCCUGGUUUUCCAAAACCCUAUUUCCACUCCUUUUUUCUGGCGACCACAUUUUCCAACCCACGUCAAAGCAUUUCUCUUAAUCAGGACAAAAAAACAAAGUUGUUUUUUGAACUGGAAAAAUUCCCGGUUUUCCAGGAAUUCCGUAAUACCAUUUCUCAAUUCAACAUGUUACGACCGAUUUGAAAAUUUUUAACACGAACCAUUUCAACUUAUUCAAGACCAUUCAAGUUUUUUUUACCAUCUUCCAAAAAAUUCCUGCUUUUCCAGAAAUUCCCACAUUUUGGGGGGAAAACGGGCAUUCUUCAAAGUUCCACAACUCCCACAUUUUUCAUCUGAUUCAAACUCUUCCAACUUCAAAAUAUUCAGCCUGUUCAAAAUUGUGUGCUCUACUUCAACAAUUCUAAAAAAAAAAAUUCCAGGAUUUUACAGAAUUCCUGGUUUUCCAAAGCCCUAUUUCCACCCCUUUUUUCUGGCGACCACAUUUUUCAACCGUUCCACCAUCAAAACAUUCCUCUUAAUCAGGACAAAAAAAACCAAGUUGUUUUUUGAACUGGAAAAAUUCCCGGUUUUCCCGAAAUUCCAGGAUUCCGUAAUACCAUUUCUCAAUUCAACAUGUUACUACCGAUUUGAAAUUUUUUUAACACCAACCAUUUCAACUCAUUCAAGACCAUUCAAGUUUUUUUACCAUCUUCCAAAAAAUUCCCGCUUUUCCAGA
Molecule: long non-coding RNA, 4371 nt
Organism: Entelurus aequoreus (snake pipefish)
Lineage: Eukaryota; Metazoa; Chordata; Actinopteri; Syngnathiformes; Syngnathidae
Exons: 8
Source: RefSeq, a predicted model, not a curated record